GGAAGGAUCAUUAUUGAAUAAACUUGCACAUGGCUGUUGCUGGCUCUUUGGAGGGUAUGUGCAACGCUUGUCAUUUUUAUCUCUCCAACUGCGCACAUAUUGUAGACCUGGAGUUCUUGUUGAUUCAUUUCGAGGUGGCACUGCUGUGCUUUGUAAAUCAUGGUCGGCUUUGCCUUUUCAUAUCCAGGUCUAUGUUGUUUUUACAGCCUCUUGAAUGUGUUUAGAAUGUUGAAUCAGGUCGUUUUGUACCUAUAAAGUUAAAUAUACAACUUUCAGCAACGGAUCUCUUGGCUCUCGCAUCGAUGAAGAACGCAGCGAAAUGCGAUAAGUAAUGUGAAUUGCAGAAUUCAGUGAAUCAUCGAAUCUUUGAACGCAUCUUGCGCUCCUUGGUAUUCCGAGGAGCAUGCCUGUUUGAGUGUCAUUUAAGUUCUCAACCACAUCAAUUCUUUGGUGAGGCGUGGAAGUUGGGGGUAUUUUUGCAGGCUUUUGUGAAUUUGAAGUCGGCUCCCCUGAAAUGCAUUAGUGGUAUCUGAGCAGAAGAAACUACCACAGGUGUGAUAAUUAUCUUCGCCUUGGUAUGCUGCAUAAUCAGAUUGCGCUGCUUCUAACGAGUGGGAGAUCCCUUUUGGGAAGACCACAUUUGAUGAAUUUGACCUCAAAUCAGGUAGGACUACCCGCUGAACUUAAGCAUAUCAAUAAGCGGGAGGA
This 708-nucleotide ribosomal RNA is filed under the name uncultured Inocybe. Its description in RNAcentral is "eukaryotic LSU rRNA". The stretch from base 268 to 421 matches the Rfam family "5.8S ribosomal RNA". The record is from RNAcentral. Lineage: Eukaryota; Fungi; Basidiomycota; Agaricomycetes; Agaricales; Cortinariaceae.